AGCAUAUAUGAAUGUUUGGAGUGGUGAGUUUAAUCUAUUACCACAUGAAGAUUAUUAGAUGCAUACACGUAUGUUCAAAUAUAUUUCUGAUCAUCAUCAUUUGAGACCCAAACAGAAUGGCAGACCAAAGACAACAAGUCUGCAAAAUGAGAUGGAUGAUAGGCAAAUAAGAAAUAAGAAUCACUGUGGUAUUUGUAAAGAACAGGGUCA
Molecule: long non-coding RNA, 210 nt
Filed under: Elaeis guineensis (African oil palm)
Lineage: Eukaryota; Viridiplantae; Streptophyta; Magnoliopsida; Arecales; Arecaceae
Description: long non-coding RNA (EGUI_LNC054534)
Source: RNAcentral